GACGAACGCUGGCGGCGUGCUUAACACAUGCCAGUCGAACGGUAAGGCCCCAGCUUGCUGGGGUACACGAGUGGCGAACGGGUGAGUAACACGUGGGUGACCUGCCCCGCACUUCGGGAUAAGCCUGGGAAACUGGGUCUAAUACCGGAUAGGACCGCACCGUGAGGGUGUGGUGGAAAGUUUUUCGGUGUGGGAUGGGCCCGCGGCCUAUCAGCUUGUUGGUGGGGUAAUGGCCUACCAAGGCGGCGACGGGUAGCCGGCCUGAGAGGGUGGACGGCCACAUUGGGACUGAGACACGGCCCAGACUCCUACGGGAGGCAGCAGUGGGGAAUAUUGCACAAUGGGCGGAAGCCUGAUGCAGCGACGCCGCGUGGGGGAUGACGGCCUUCGGGUUGUAAACUCCUUUCACCAUCGACGAAGGUUUUCUGACGGUAGAUGAAGAAGAAGCACCGGCUAACUACGUG
RNAcentral lists this ribosomal RNA (464 nucleotides) under uncultured bacterium. RNAcentral describes it as "partial 16S ribosomal RNA". It matches the Rfam family "Bacterial small subunit ribosomal RNA", at positions 28 to 507 of the family's 1533-position model. The record is from RNAcentral.